GCCGUCGCGACGCGUGCGUGUUCUCUUUUGCCGGUUUCACAAAGCUCACGAGACUCGCGUGUCCCGCACAGCGUGACUAGUCUCGUCCGUGUUCGCCCACCUGUUCGCUCCAGCAAGUCGAUCGCGAGUAUCGUGACAACGAAUGGUUCGGUAUAAUAAUCGUUAAACGUUGCCUGGUGCACGUGCAUCGUCGUCGUAGCCCCCGUCGUUGUGGCUCCGUGCUCUACCAGGGAUACCUGCUAUUUCGAGGGGUUCUCGCGAGUGACCUGACAGCCCCGCGACUAGCAUUCCCUCGCGGCGCGUGUGUCCGUGCAACGAACACGAUAAUCUCGUGCCGCGUGUUUGGUAGCCUGGCUAAACUGGAGCAGUGUGCGAUUGGGACGUGUCAGUUGAAGAAGAGAGUCAAACGGUGUGAGGAAGAGUCUGUCCUCUGGUCUUAGUUGAGAACGUCAGUGAGGCCAGUCUCUCGGUGAUAAUCAGUGCGAAACAACCCUUGGAUUAUGACUGUCGGUAUUUUCGACGCUGCAUAAAACGAACAACGCGUCACACGCCCACGCAAAUCACACACAUCACACAUACGCUCGUGACGGUCACAACGAAACAAACCGCACUCGAUUCGGACGACCUCGAAAAUUUCCAAGUUUUAUCAGUGAAUCGCAGACAGCCCCCUUGCAUCAAUACCGACCCAAAAAAUCUCAGUAUUUUCGACGAUGUAAAAAACGAACAACGCGUCACACGCCCACGAAAAUCACUCACAUCACACAUACGCUCGUGGCGGUCACAACGAAACAAUCCGCACUCGAUUCGGACGAUCUCCAAAAUUUCCAAGUUUUAUCAGUGAAUCAAUCGCAGACAGCUCCUUUGCAUCAAUACCGACCCAAAAAGUCGCAGGUACCCGAAAGUUCACUUUUACCCUUAGAGUGCUGUGGACCCAUCUUUG
Molecule: long non-coding RNA, 940 nt
Organism: Eufriesea mexicana
Lineage: Eukaryota; Metazoa; Arthropoda; Insecta; Hymenoptera; Apidae
Exons: 3
Source: RefSeq, a predicted model, not a curated record